RNAcentral lists this transfer RNA (80 nucleotides) under Cubamyces sp. BRFM 1775. RNAcentral's name for it is "Leiotrametes sp. BRFM 1775 tRNA-Asn". It matches the Rfam family "tRNA". From Rfam's summary of the family: Transfer RNA (tRNA) molecules are approximately 80 nucleotides in length. Their secondary structure includes four short double-helical elements and three loops (D, anti-codon, and T loops). Further hydrogen bonds mediate the characteristic L-shaped molecular structure. tRNAs have two regions of fundamental functional importance: the anti-codon, which is responsible for specific mRNA codon recognition, and the 3' end, to which the tRNAs corresponding amino acid is attached (by aminoacyl-tRNA synthetases). tRNAs cope with the degeneracy of the genetic code in two manners: having more than one tRNA (with a specific anti-codon) for a particular amino acid; and 'wobble' base-pairing, i.e. permitting non-standard base-pairing at the 3rd anti-codon position. The record is from RNAcentral. Lineage: Eukaryota; Fungi; Basidiomycota; Agaricomycetes; Polyporales; Polyporaceae.
UGCCCCGUGGCUGAGUUGGUUACAGCGUCCGACUGUUACUUGACAUCGGAAGGUCGUGAGUUCGAGCCUCACCGGGGCAG